UACGAAGGGGGCUAGCGUUGCUCGGAAUCACUGGGCGUAAAGCGCACGUAGGCGGAUUGCUAAGUCAGGGGUGAAAUCCUGGAGCUCAACUCCAGAACUGCCUUUGAUACUGGCGAUCUUGAGUCCGGGAGAGGUGAGUGGAAUUGCGAGUGUAGAGGUGAAAUUCGUAGAUAUUCGCAAGAACACCAGUGGCGAAGGCGGCUCACUGGCCCGGUACUGACGCUGAGGUGCGAAAGCGUGGGGAGCAAACAGG
This 253-nucleotide ribosomal RNA is filed under the name uncultured bacterium. Its description in RNAcentral is "partial 16S ribosomal RNA". It matches the Rfam family "Bacterial small subunit ribosomal RNA", at positions 524 to 776 of the family's 1533-position model. The record is from RNAcentral.